UAGGGAAUCUUCGGCAAUGGGCGAAAGUCUGUCCGAGCAACGCCGCGUGAGUGAAGAAGGUUUUCGGAUCGUAAAACUCUGUUGGUAGAGAAGAACGUUGGUGAGAGUGGAAAGCUCUUCAAGUGACGGUAACUACCCAGAAAGGGACGGCUAACUACGUGCCAG
Molecule: ribosomal RNA, 165 nt
Filed under: uncultured bacterium
Lineage: Bacteria
Description: partial 16S rRNA
Rfam family: Bacterial small subunit ribosomal RNA
Source: RNAcentral